UAGGGAAUCUUCCACAAUGGGCGCAAGCCUGAUGGAGCAACACCGCGUGAGUGAAGAAGGGUUUCGGCUCGUAAAGCUCUGUUGUUGGAGAAGAACGUGCGUGAGAGUAACUGUUCACGCAGUGACGGUAUCCAACCAGAAAGUCACGGCUAACUACCGUGCC
This 163-nucleotide ribosomal RNA is filed under the name uncultured bacterium. RNAcentral's name for it is "partial 16S ribosomal RNA". It matches the Rfam family "Bacterial small subunit ribosomal RNA", at positions 355 to 509 of the family's 1533-position model. The record is from RNAcentral.